RNAcentral lists this ribosomal RNA (516 nucleotides) under uncultured Bacteroidota bacterium. RNAcentral describes it as "bacterial SSU rRNA". It matches the Rfam family "Bacterial small subunit ribosomal RNA", at positions 36 to 507 of the family's 1533-position model. Lineage: Bacteria; Pseudomonadati; Bacteroidota. The record is from RNAcentral.
GGCGUACACGGAUAGAACGGACUAGCGACAAGGCUUAACACAACUGCAAGUCGAGGGGCGUAGCGGGGAGUCGAAGCUUGCUUCAUCCGCCGGCGACCGGCGGCACGGGUGAGUAACACGUAUGCAACCUGCCCUGGCUGGGGGAUAAGCCGGAGAAAUCCGGUCUAAUACCGCGUAACAUCCUUGCGGGACAUCCCGUUAGGAUCAAAGGAAGCGAUUCCGGCCAGGGAUGGGCAUGCGGCGCAUUAGCUAGUCGGCGGGGUAACGGCCCACCGAGGCGACGAUGCGUAGGGGUUCUGAGAGGAAGGUCCCCCACACUGGUACUGAGACACGGACCAGACUCCUACGGGAGGCAGCAGUGAGGAAUAUUGGUCAAUGGGCACGAGCCUGAACCAGCCAAGUCGCGUGAGGGAAGACGGUCCUAUGGAUUGUAAACCUCUUUUGCCGGGGAGCAAGCUGUGUCACGUGUGACACAGCUGAGAGUACCCGGAGAAAAAAGCAUCGGCUAACUCCGUG